RNAcentral lists this ribosomal RNA (253 nucleotides) under uncultured bacterium. Its description in RNAcentral is "partial 16S ribosomal RNA". It matches the Rfam family "Bacterial small subunit ribosomal RNA", at positions 524 to 776 of the family's 1533-position model. The record is from RNAcentral.
UACGGAGGAUCCAAGCGUUAUCCGAAUUUAUUGGGUUUAAAGGGUGCGUAGGUGGUUUAUUAAGUCAGGGGUGAAAGACGGCAGCUUAACUGUCGCAGUGCCUUUGAUACUGAUGAACUUGAAUAAACUAGAGGUAGGCGGAAUGUGACAAGUAGCGGUGAAAUGCAUAGAUAUGUCACAGAACACCAAUUGCGAAGGCAGCUUACUAUGGUUUGAUUGACACUGAGGCACGAAAGCGUGGGGAUCAAACAGG